ACCCAUAGUACCCCAUUCCUUGCUGCAAUGUAAUUACAAGUGUGCUCCUGGUGGUCUUUAACUGAAGGGCACUGACUGGGUACUGGUGAAGUUCCCCGCAGGAACUGAGUCAGACCCCAUCUCAGGGCCCUGCAGAAGAUAGGUGCCUGCUCUAAGGCGUGGACCCUCGCGACAGCCCUGGCCCGUCUUGACGGGCGAGGGUUACUGUACUUGUCCCAAUCGUACAGAUGAGAAAGCUCAGACUCAGGGCCAGCAACCCCGGUCCCAGCGGAGCGCCCGGCACGCGCCGACACUUCAGCACCAGUCGCGGUGGCCACCACUGUGCGCGGAGAUGGCUGCGACGCGUGCGCAGAUUAAAUGCUGUUUUCCAUGACCGUCUCUGUUCUUCCCAUACGCGAAUGGCAGGCAUCCAGAUCUCCAAGAAUAGAGGAUUAGGAGAGACUCCACCACCUAUGUCCUCACAGUUAAUUAUCGAUUUGUGUCACUUGCCCAUUUUCUCACUUCCUGUUUGUGUGUCAAGGAGUAUUAAUAAAUCUUUGCCUAUUUAAAGAUACUAGCCUUGGAUUUUCAAAUAUUGCAUAUUUUGACAUGUAAAAAUGUGUUAGUUUUAUUUUUUCAACCGAUCUGACCUGUAUAGUUGGGCUUGAGGAAGCUUCCUCAUUGUACAUGUUACUAUGGAUUUUCUAAUAUUAACACAGGGUUGUAUUUUUUCCAUAUAACUUUCUAUUGAAUUUCUUUUUCCAUAUGAUAGGUGGUGAAGGUUUAGCCCAGUAAAGCAGAGAGGUUAAGAGGUUAGACUGGGGGCUCUGGAGCCAGACCUAUGUAGAUCUGAGUCCUGGCUCUGGCACUUGAAAGCCGUGUGACCUUGGUUAAGAUACUUAGCCCCUCUCUGCCAAAUGGAGAAAUAAGGGCACCUACCCCGUAGGGUAGUUGUGUGAGUACACAAGUUAAUACACUUCAAUCACUAGCAAGAAAGUGAAUGUCAAGCUGUAUUUGUUCAGGCAGCCAUAUGGUAGCCCCACCUCAUUAGUAAACUGAGGUAUUGAAGUAUCUUCUUUUUCUUUCAGAAAAUAUUUGUCAAGCACCUUCUGUGUUCUAAGAACUGUUCUAGAGCUUUGCAUGCUAUGGAGGUCUAGAAAUUCACAUUAUGGUGGCAGGUGACAGACAAUACAAAGAGGUAAAGCAAUUUCAUAUAGUGAUAACCUAGGGAGGCGUGCUAAAAGGAGCCAAGGUGUAGUGGUGACUGGAAGGUGACCAGGGAAACCACUGUAGGGUUUCUAACUGAUGAGAUCUGUGACAAAUCCCUGUGGUCAGCAGCAGGCAUUGGAUAUGUAACUUUAUUCUGUCCCAUUGAUCUUGUAGUCAACCCUGGUCUGUUCUGUAUUGUUUUAAUUACAUAAUCUUUGUAAUAAUCUUUAAUACCUGGUGGAGUGCUCUGUUUACUUAUUUCUGCAUAAUUAACCACCCCUAAGCUUAACUUACUCAUGGUUCUGCAGGAUGACUGCUCUCCAUGGUUCUAGGGGUUUCUGCAUGGGGCCUCUCACAUGUGCUACAGUCAAACAUUAGCCGGGGCCACAGUCAUCUGAAACUCACUUACACGGCUGACAAUUGAUGUUGGCUGUUGCCUGGAGAAGACAUAUGUGGCCUGGUGGAAUGGAAUGGUGACUAGAUUCAAGAAAGAGCUUCCCAGGAGCAAGGCUACCAAGAGACCGAAGUAGAGGCUUCAGUUUCUUUAAAAAAAAAAAAAAAAAUCGGGCCAGGUGCGAUGGCUCACGCAUGUAAUCCCAGCACUUUGGGAGGCCAAGGCAGGCAGAUCACAAGGUCAUGAGAUCGAGACCAUCCUGGCCAACAUAGUGAAACCCGUCUCCAAUAAAAAAAAAAAAUACAAAAAUUAGCUGGGCAUGGUGGUGUGUGACGGUAGUCCCAACUACUUGGGAGGCUGAGACAGGAGAAUUUCUAGAACCUGGGAGGCGGGGGUUGCAGUGAGCUGAGAUUGCACCACUGCACUCAAGACUGGCAAUAGAGGGAGACUCCAUCUCAAAAAAAAAAAAAAAUCCAAUAGUAGAAUUCCCAGAAUGGAAUUUAUGUCAUAUUCUAUGGAUUGAGCAAGUUGCAAGGCAGCCACAUUCUAGGGGAAGGGAGCUAUUCCUCACCUCUUGAGAAGCAAUGUGUGUUGAGGAAGGGAAAGAAUUGAUGGUAGCUGUCUUUGACUUCUACCAUACAGAGCAAGGUCUCCACACUCCUUUCUCCUGUAAUAAUUUUCCAUUUGAAAAUUUUCCUUGCAGUUCUCACACCUUUAUUAUUUCAUAUAAAUUUUACAAUCAAUUUUUUUCUUGUCUAGAUAACCAUGCCAUUUGGAUUAAAAUUGCAUUACAUUGCAACUUUUGAGAAACUAUGGGAGGAGAAUUGGCAACCUUAUAAUAUUGAAUUUGCUCAUUAAGGAACAUAGUUUCUCUGUUUAUUUAGGUGUUAUAUUUUUCAUAAUAUACAUGUUGGUAUUUCUACCCAGGCUUUUCUCUUUGUUUUGUCAUGUAAUGCAUGAAUGAGACUGCACUGUCUGUGUGAUUGGGCAGUUGCCCAAAGUUUAAGGUGUUAACAUGCAUUAAUUCACUUAAUCACUUCUCAUUUCCUCCUUCCCUCAACCCCUGACAACCAUGAAUCUGCUUUCUGUCUCUAGAUUUGCCUAUUCUGGACAUUUUAUAUAAAUGUGUCAUCCAAUAUCUGGUCUUUUCUGACUGGCUUCUUUCACUUAGCAGGAUUCUACGGUUUAUUGAGGUUCAUUCAUUGUGUAGGCUGUAUCAGUACUUCAUUCCUGUUUACGGCUGAAUAAUGUUCCACUGUAUGUACAUAUGUAUGUAUACCACACUUUGUAUAUCCAUUUAUUUACUGGAGGAUAUCUGGGUUAUUUACAGUAUAUUUCAGGAGUCCCCAAGAUCAUCCUCCCCCUUGGUAUACUGCUCUUUGUAUCUUAUAUGACCUGUGCAGAACUAUUUAUCUGGAAAUUAGGUGAUGGUUAACUAAAUAUAGUUCUUCUAAAGAUUCAUUUUCCGUUGGUAUUACAUCCUGAGGAGACCUUAACUCAAUCUCCCAAUACAUUUGAUCAUCAAUAUCACUAUUACCACAUGACUUAUUUACAUGAGGUACUCAAAUCUAACCAGCCAUGCCAGUGUUACCCAUAUUGCAUGUUGUGGUAGUAGAUGCAGCCCCCUGAAAUAAAAGUCAAAAGAUGCUGGCACAUUCCUGAGGUUCUUCUCAGCCACUAACAAUUGGUGUAGUUCAUCAUCACCUGGAAUGACCAAAAUGUCUCCC
Molecule: long non-coding RNA, 3309 nt
Filed under: Homo sapiens (human)
Lineage: Eukaryota; Metazoa; Chordata; Mammalia; Primates; Hominidae
Description: HSALNT0149378
Source: RNAcentral